GCAGCACAUCACCAGGAGCUCCUUCCUCCUGUAGUAUAGUGUGGGAGGCGGAGCUUGUGUGUGUCAGGCUCAGGACCCGAGUGAGGAGAGAGUGUCCGGACUCUGGAGGAAAGGGGAGGGUCGGCCACUGCACUGCCUGCACGGCUCUGUACUGCGCUGCCUGCUGAUCUCACUAAACAGGGAAUAUUACAUCAUCUAAUUUCAACCUAAUUGUUAUUUUCUGUUACGAUGAAGUCUAUUUAGAUACCUUAUCAAUUGAAACGAACGUGUGAUUGGAUGUAACAUUGAGAAUUGAAACCAGUUUUAACCAGUGAUAAUCCAUUCUGUUAUAAGAACUGAUUGUAAACCCCUGAUGAAGUCCUAAUGGACGAAACGCGUUGGGUUUCGCGAUAUUGGGUUAAUAAAGCCUUUACUACAAGCAUCUGGUUGGAGACACAUCUCUUUCAAGUUCUGACUGUGAUCACCUGACUGUAAAUUCCUCACAUCAACUGAAAAAUGU
Pseudophryne corroboree (corroboree frog) is the source of this 499-nucleotide long non-coding RNA. RefSeq lists it as uncharacterized. Lineage: Eukaryota; Metazoa; Chordata; Amphibia; Anura; Myobatrachidae. The transcript is spliced from 4 exons. The record is from RefSeq and is a predicted model, not a curated record.